UGGGGAAUAUUGGACAAUGGAGGAAACUCUGAUCCAGCAAUUCUGUGUGUGUGAAGAAGGUUUUAGGACUGUAAAACACUUUUAGUAGGGUAGAAAAAAAUGACGGUACCUACAGAAGAAGCAACGGCUAAAUACGUGCCAGCAGCCGCGGUAAUACGUAUGUUGCGAGCGUUAUCCGGAAUUAUUGGGCUUAAAGGGCAUCUAGGCGGUAAGACAAGUUGAAGGUGAAAACCUGUGGCUCAACCAUAGGCUUGCCUACAAAACUGUUGAACUAGAGUACUGGAAAGGUGGGUGGAACUACACGAGUAGAGGUGAAAAUCGUAGAUAUGUGUAGGAAUGCCGAUGAUGAAGAUAACUCACUGGACAGAAACUGACGCUGAAGUGCGAAAGCUAGGGGAGCAAACAGG
This 407-nucleotide ribosomal RNA is filed under the name Verrucomicrobiota bacterium. Its description in RNAcentral is "Verrucomicrobia bacterium partial 16S ribosomal RNA". It matches the Rfam family "Bacterial small subunit ribosomal RNA", at positions 355 to 776 of the family's 1533-position model. Lineage: Bacteria; Pseudomonadati; Verrucomicrobiota. The record is from RNAcentral.